AUGCGGUUGGCUCAGCUGGUUAGAGCAUCUCGUUGAAACCGGGAGGGUCCGCGGUUCGAAUCCGUGACCGCCCACCA
This 77-nucleotide transfer RNA is filed under the name Bradyrhizobium sp. TM102. Its description in RNAcentral is "tRNA-Phe". It matches the Rfam family "tRNA". From Rfam's summary of the family: Transfer RNA (tRNA) molecules are approximately 80 nucleotides in length. Their secondary structure includes four short double-helical elements and three loops (D, anti-codon, and T loops). The record is from RNAcentral. Lineage: Bacteria; Pseudomonadati; Pseudomonadota; Alphaproteobacteria; Hyphomicrobiales; Nitrobacteraceae.